Molecule: non-coding RNA, 2969 nt
Organism: Microcebus murinus (gray mouse lemur)
Lineage: Eukaryota; Metazoa; Chordata; Mammalia; Primates; Cheirogaleidae
Source: RefSeq, a predicted model, not a curated record
CAAGGCCACUACUUAGACAGCAAGUAUCAUAGGCAGGGGUCAAUACUGCCACCUUCUGGCCCGUCUGGGGUUCUGGGAGUGGGCCAGUGGCGGGUCUGCGCCCCGCAAGGUCCACUGAUCCCCAGACCACGACAGACGCGCCGGCGCUUCCAUGCUUGGACCCGCCGGCGCCCCAGGCUGGGUCCCUAGAAACAUCUAGGGCGUGGGCGGGGGGCGGAGGACCGGGCGGGGACCGUCCCAAGCUCUCCCAGCUUGUGCCACCUAUCCUGCUCCCCAAGAAUUUGGCUGGGUCGGUGCCCGGGCUGGGCAGUCGGCGGCUUGGCUGUCCGGCUCAGCAAGGUCCGGUCGUCCACGGGCGUCGGGAUUCAGGAUGACUUCGGCCGGCUAUAGAUUUCUGUGGCUUCUCAAGAUGUUGAUCUUAAUCGUGGGACUUGGCGUUGUUUUAUUUAUGUUCGGAAGUGUGUCCCUUCAGGCAGAGUUCAGGAGUCUUAAGCCAGAGCCCCCAGGUUCUCCGCUGGGGGUCCAGGUGCUGAAGCUUCUGCCUGAGGAACGUCUCCGGAACCUCUUUACCUACGACGGCAUCUGGCUGUUCCCGAAGAACCAGUGCAAAUGUGAAACCACCGAAGAGCAGAGAAGUUAUAACUUUCAGGAUGCAUAUGACCAGAGUGACCUCCCAGCGGUGAAAGCGAGGAGACAGGCUGAAUUUGAACACUUUCAGAGGAGAGAAGGGCUGCCCCGCCCACCGCCCCUGCUGGCUCAGCCCAACCUCCCCUUUGGGUACCCAGUUCACGGAGUGGAAGUGAUGCCCCUGCACACAAUUCCCAUCCCAGGUCUGCAGUUUGAAGGACCAGAUGCCCCAGUCUAUGAGGUCACCCUGACAGCUUCUCUGGGGACACUGAACACCCUUGCUGACAUCCCAGACAGUGUGGUGCAGGGCAGAGGUCAGAAGCAGCUGACCAUUUCAACCAGUGACCGGAAGCUUCUGAAGUUCAUCCUCCAGCAUGUGACUUACACCAGCUCAGGGUACCAGCAUCACAUGGUGGACAUGGUGAGUAUGGAGUCCAAGUCCUCAGUGGCCAAGUUUCCAGUCACCAUCCGCCAUCCUGUAAUACCCAGGUUAUAUGACCCCGGACCAGAGAGGAAGCUCAGAGACCUGGUGACCAUUGCCACCAAGACUUUCUUGCGCCCCCACAAGCUCAUGAUCAUGCUCCAGAGUAUUCGAGAGUAUUACCCUGACUUGACUGUGAUAGUGGCCGACGACAGCAAGAAGCCCCUGGACAUUAAAGACAGCCAUGUGGAGUAUUAUACCAUGCCCUUUCGGAAGGGUUGGUUUGCCGGUAGGAACCUGGCCAUAUCUCAAGUCACCACCAAAUAUGUUCUCUGGGUGGACGAUGACUUUUUCUUUAAUGACAAGACCAAGAUUGAGGUGCUGGUGGAUGUUCUGGAGAAAACUGAACUGGACAUGGUAGGGGGCAGUGUGCAGAGAAAUGCGUUCCAGUUUAAGCUGCUGCUGGAACAGAGUGAGAACGGAGACUGCCUUCACAAGAGGACAGGAUCUUUCCAGCCCCUGGAAGGCUUCCCCGGCUGUGUGGUGACCAGUGGCGUUGCCAACUUCUUCCUGGCCCACACAGAGCGACUCCAAAGAGUUGGCUUCGAUCCCCGCCUGCAACGAGUGGCUCACUCAGAGUUCUUUAUUGACGGGCUAGGGAGCCUGCUGGUGGGGUCAUGUCCAGACGUGAUGAUAGGUCACCAGUCCCGAUCUCCAGCGGUGGACUCAGAUCUGGCCGCUCUGGAGAAGAUCUACAGCACGUACCGGACUAAUACCAAUGCCCAGAUCCAGUUCAAGCUGGCUCUCCACUACUUCAAGAACCAUCUCGAAUGCACCCAGGAAGGGACACAGAAAAAGCACUAGGCUGACCGCUUGUCGUUAUCUGGAACCGUGGUUAUGGCCAUGAAAAACUAGACCCCUGCAGUCCCACCAGGUGGCUCCACAAGACACGAAGUGCAGGCGAAGCGUUAGAUGCAAAUGUCCCUUAGCUCCAACCACGCGGAACACCAGCACCUACACCCGCGCAGCCCAGCAGACGUGCCUCGUAGGCUCGGUUCGCGCAUCCCAGGGGAUGUCUGGGGCUUGAACCACCGGACCCCCAGGUGCCAGUCCGCUUCGCUCCCCGCUUGGCCAAAGUGUCCUCGCACAGCACUCCUCAAGUAAAUAAAUAAAUAAACAAAUGCGAAGCCCAAGCUGCGUGCGCCCGCCUCCUGCCCCGGGGCUGGAACUGGCCCCGGCUUUCUCCGGACCGCAGUCCGGCCCAGCAUCGCGGAUCCAGCCAGCCCACCGCCCUUCUGACUUCCUGGGACUUGGGUCCCGACGCCCGGAGGAGCUCAGGAAGAGGGGCAGGAAGAUAAGACACCUCGGGGACUGGGCAUGCCUGUAACGGAGGGACGCGGAAGCCCUCGUAGCCCUGCUUCCGCCUCCCGCGCGGCUGGGCCUGCGCCCCAGGGUCCAGCUGGACACAUCCAGGCUCUGACGCAGCUUCCGAAAAGCUGCCCAACGCGCCCUGAGGCUUGAGAAGACUCUCGGCCGCCUAAAGCAGCCAGUGGGUCCCAUGGUGUAAUGGUUAGCACUCUGGACUUUGAAUCCAGCGAUCCGAGUUCAAAUCUCGGUGGGACCUCUCCAUACCUUUUGGUCCUGUAAUUCCCGUUUUGGGGACUGCUGCUGAGGCAGCACCUCGGGCUGUGCGGUGGCCCAGCUGACUCGCCGGACCGCAGCUUAGGGUCCCUCCCCCUCUCUCAAGAUGCUUUCGUUUCAGGGUCUUGGGGUAUUCUCAGUGCGCACGCGUGAGAGUCAGGCAGAAAAAUAAAUGUAUCGAUGGGAGUUGGAACGCGACUUUACCCUGGAGGGAACCACCCGAAAGUGCCCGAAGGAUGCCGACGAUGCUGCUUCGGGCGGGGCACAACUCGGUCUGCCG